UGUUUAAAAAUAUAAAUUAUAAAGUAAUUUUGGAAUGAUACAGAGAAGAUUAGCAUGGCCCCUGCACAAGGAUGACAUGCAAAAGACUUAAAAGACCUCAACCGAC
This is a small nuclear RNA of Peromyscus maniculatus bairdii (prairie deer mouse), 106 nucleotides long. The record is from Ensembl. Lineage: Eukaryota; Metazoa; Chordata; Mammalia; Rodentia; Cricetidae.